This 3804-nucleotide long non-coding RNA is filed under the name Daphnia magna. RNAcentral describes it as "uncharacterized LOC116927932, transcript variant X1". Lineage: Eukaryota; Metazoa; Arthropoda; Branchiopoda; Diplostraca; Daphniidae. The record is from RNAcentral.
CUACUGUUAUUUCAGAUUCACAGUUUGUUUGCCAUGCUGGGAUUCGAAUUUGUGAAUAAAUGAAGGUAACUCGUUUGUUUGUAUACGGCAGUCUUUUGUAUUUACACGCGGCUGUAUACAAGGGUACAGUUUGGUUUCUUUCAAUUUAGGAGGGGGAAUCCUGGACAAGAUGACCUUAGAUGUCCAUCAUCAGUGGGGAAAGAAGAUGGAGGAAAAGGGGUCGUGGGUUUUUUUUUCUGUGAGAAGCCCGUUCUUCAUUUUUUGAGGGAAAAAUUGGAGAAGAAAAAAGUUUUUGAGCUGAGAAACACCAACACAAACACUGGAGAAUUUGCUGCUCGUCGCUGUGUGAGCGCCUGCUUGUUCUUUUAAAAACCCAAUUUGCUGAGCUGCUUGAUGUCUAAGCCGCUAUCCGCAUAGUAGUCUUGGCUAUGAAAAGAAGAGACGGGGAAAACAUAAAAAAAGGACAGGAAAACAAGGAAAAAAAGGAAAAAAAAGGAUCAAUCAACAUGUUAGAUGCCGUAAUCAAAAACCAUCACUUGGGAAGAAAAUGCGAAAAAGUACGAAGUUUUUUUUGUUUUUCAGUUCAGUUUUUCAGUUGGCUUUACGUCUCGUAUUCUUUUAGUUUCCUUUUUUGAUUUGACGCAUGCGUCAUUAGUUGCUGCUGUUUCGAAACAGAAUUAUACAGGGAAAAGAAGGUUGGCACGAGAUUGAAAAGUGCGCAAAAGAAGGAAAGUGUGUUGGUGGAUGUCGAUAUAAUUUGUUUCCAUUUAAACAACGGCCUCAUCAGCAAGUGGUUCUUCGACCACGAGAACCUCGGUGACUGGACGAGGACGGAAAGAUGGCCGGCUGGUGACGGGCUUCUUGGGAGCAGCUGCCACCCUGACAGGGGCAGCCUCAGGUGCUGGGGCAACACCAGCCUGGACUUCAGUGUUGCGCAGACUAUUCAGAUCCAGCGUCCCGUAGUAGUCGGCACUAAAAUGUGUAGAUGAGGGAUGGGUUUAUAGGGUUUCAAAUGGUUUAAUGGAUUAGCGAGGUUAUUUAUUUCUGUUCAUGCAUUGUUCUUCUUUUUUUAAUUGUUUCAUUUAACUUUCAGGUGAGGUGAGAGAAAAUGAAAGAGUGACCCAAUCAUGCAAAACCGAAGAUUUAAAAAUCAUGCAGUUUUAGAAUUUUGAAUGUCUCGUCAUUGAUUUGUAUCAAGUCAAGGACUGUGAAGGACAUCGCGAAAUUCUUGUAUGGGAGAAAAAUAAUUGGUGAUCUUAAAAACAAAAAAACAACAGAAACUUACCAUCCUUCGACUUCCUCGGGAUCAGCGCAGAAACCGGAUUGGUCAUCGAGUCCGAUCUUGAAGACCGUGCCGAGCGGGCAACCGUAUUCGCGGGCGUUACCGUUCAUGCAAACGUAGUACUGACGGCAAUCCUCUGGGUGGGCGUGGCGACUGAAGGCACCGGUGGCGACAUCUCCAGUGACUGGACAAAUGAAUCCAUUUCCAACUUCUAUGGUAACCAAAAACAAAAUGUUCGUGUCAGAGAAGAUGAAAGGUUUAAAAAAUUAAUUUAUUAUCUACCGACCUUCUUGUUUACAGUUGGCAACCUGAUCGGCCCAGGUACAAACGCGGCUUUCCCGGCUGUAAGCCAAGCCGGGGGCGCAUUGAUAACGGCUAGCUUCGCCGUUCCAGCAGCUCCAGAAAACAUCGCAUUUGGUCUCGUCGGGGAAGACUCCGUGCAAGCUAGGGCAGUGAGGAGUACUGAUUGGUGGUUCUGUUGAUGAAAUAAUUUGAUUAAUUAAUAUCUGUUAUGGAGAUUUGUUGAAUUUGUAUUGGAAAUCAGGCACUUACCAAGUUCGAGACGAUCUCCGCAUUCGAUGUUGUAGACGUAAUCGCAGUUUUCACGGUUGUUCUUGGGGUCGGUGUCAUCGAAAGCCAAGCCAUUGCCGCAGACUUCCAGCGUAGCCACUCCAUCUACGCAUUUCCAGUAUUUGUCGCAGGAAAUGUCGUGAGCGAAGAAGCCGUUUUCCUUCGGGCAAACAAACGCAUCGCUGCGAAUGUUCUGGGCCGAAGCUGUCGUGAUUGAAAGAAAGUCCAGGUGAAAGCUGGCGAGACUGGAGAAAGUUGUUAUCUCGAAUUCAAUCAAGUCACGAGAAGAAAGAAGAAACUUGUUCCUCUACCCUUCAUCGAAGGAUAUCCACGAGCUCAGACGCCAUCGUGGUCCGUACAAGUGAAAGCUCAUCGGUGCAUGUUGCACGUGCCUGCGAUAAUCGUCACCCGACAAAAUAAAAGUACAAACGAAGCAAAGAGAAAUGGCGUGAAACGAAAUGUAACACUUGGUUUCCCAAUACAUUCCAAUAUCUUUGCUGGCACCUGGAACCUUGUAAAGGCCAGAAAAGUGAAAGGACGGAAACCGCAGAACAUUCAACCCGACGUGUGUACAAUUCGAUUGUUCAUUGAUUGUUAUUGUGUCGUAUGAAAUUGCCGUAAUGUACAGAUCUGGGCUCGACGAACUCUCCAACAAUCAGGUAACGAAAUGGCAAUUUGUUGUGUCAGUUGGAUUUUUCUCUUGUCACAGACAUGAUUUGAAAACAAAACAAAAAACUAGCCAUUUCAAGUUAAGUAUCAUCGUGGCUUGGAAAUCGAAACAAUAUCCCAAACUAUGUGGUCGUGACGUGAAGAAAAAAAGAGAAAGAAUUUGAAUACAAAUUAAUAAUAAUGUGAUGGAUAGAUUGGAAAAUCACCGAAAGAAAGCUUGACCAGUGCUUGUGUGUGGCAAGUUUACUUGCUUGACCCGUCGGUCUCUUUCUCUCCUUCUUUUUCUUUCUUUUGGUUUCGUGAUUGGAACAGCGUAUGAAAUGCCUGCGUUCACCAGAAAUGGAAAUCGUUUCACGACGGGGGGAAGGAGAGCUCUCUAGAGAGAGGGAGAGCGAAGAAGGUAAAAAAAAGGAAGUUAAAGAAAGAAAAGGGACGUGUAUAGUCAUAUUGCCAGAAGGAAAUCAUGCGCCAGAAAAAUGCUAAAACCACAUUUCUCAGGAAAAAUGAGAUUUCUCCAUUGAGCCAAUUUUGCUUUGCCCAUUUGACAGUUGCUGCAUGUCAACACAGACGUUUCGAUUUCCUUUGUCUCCGUGAUUUACGUGUUUGUGCUCACUGACAUCAGGUAAACAGACCUGAAAAGUUUAAAAAGAUGCAUCACUUUCUCCUUGACGAAAAAAAAAAAAAAUCACAGGUACAAAACUUGCCUAUUCCAAACAUAUUAUAAACGACAAUUUGUGCUGGAACAUAAAUUCUGUUGCUAUAUGGAGGUCUAGAGGUAAAAGCUCAAAGUUAAUAUGGUUAAAGAAAGAAAAUGACCAACAAAAAGAGAAACUUUUACUAAAUGGUGGGUUUGUCCCUUACCCUCGAGCCAAACUUUUAGAAAAGAAUUUCGGAAAAUAACCGACUAUCCCUGUAAUUUUAUUUCACUAUUCUCAAGGUGAUUUUCCAGCUGUUGUCGGUUGUUUCGUCUUCAGUGUUCCGGUCAAGGACCAACAAGAAAAAAAAAGGUAACCAUUUCCCCUGCUCUUUCCAUAUAUAUAUUUUUUUUAUUUCUAAGAAAAUGAAAAACAGGUAAAUCAAAGUGUUUUGGAGUUGGGGGGAGAGUCGAGGUGAAAACUGUCUGCUGUUAAACCACGUGGGAAUAGACCCAUCAUUUGGCGUGAGUAGCUACAGUGAAACGUUUCGUGUGCUUCAUUUUGCAUCACAGUUUCGUGUGUAAAGUUUAUAGCAGAUAAAGUGUCAUGGUGUUAUCUCUUCGUAACAACGUGAAAAGAAGACGAGGU